AACGAACGCUGGCGGCAGGCUUAACACAUGCAAGUCGAACGAGAUCUUCGGAUCUAGUGGCAGACGGGUGAGGAACACGUGGGAACAUCCCUUUUAGUUCGGAAUAACGUUGGGAAACUAACGCUAAUACCGGAUACGUCCUUCGGGAGAAAGAUUUAUCGCUGAAAGAUUGGCCCGCGUCUGAUUAGCAAGUUGGUGAGGUAAUGGCUACGCAAGGCUACGAUCAGUAGCUGAGCUGAGAGGAUGAUCAGCCACCUUGGGACUGGGACACGGCCCAAACUCCUACGGGAGGCAGCAGUGGGGAAUAUUGGACAACGGGCGCAAGCCUGAUCCAGCCAUGCCGCGUGAGUGAUGAAGGCUUUCGGGUUGUAAAGCUCUUUUAUCCGGGAAGAUAAUGACUGUACCGGAAGAAUAAGCCCCGGCAAACUUCGUGCCAGCCGCCGCGGUAA
This 449-nucleotide ribosomal RNA is filed under the name uncultured bacterium. RNAcentral's name for it is "partial 16S ribosomal RNA". It matches the Rfam family "Bacterial small subunit ribosomal RNA", at positions 29 to 523 of the family's 1533-position model. The record is from RNAcentral.